RNAcentral lists this RNase P RNA (212 nucleotides) under Candidatus Eiseniibacteriota bacterium. RNAcentral's name for it is "partial RNase P RNA component class A". It matches the Rfam family "Bacterial RNase P class A", at positions 161 to 367 of the family's 367-position model. From Rfam's summary of the family: Ribonuclease P (RNase P) is a ubiquitous endoribonuclease, found in archaea, bacteria and eukarya as well as chloroplasts and mitochondria. Its best characterised activity is the generation of mature 5'-ends of tRNAs by cleaving the 5'-leader elements of precursor-tRNAs. The record is from RNAcentral. Lineage: Bacteria; Candidatus Eiseniibacteriota.
GGUGAGGUAAGAGCUCACCAGUGCUCCCGGUGACGGGAGCAGCUAGGUAAACCCCACCCGGAGCGAGACCAAAUAGGAGAGGAGAAGUUGCCCGCUUCGCUAUAACUCUCGGGUCGGUCGCAUGAGGCGUCGGGCAAUCGGCGUCCCAGAUGAAUGAUCGCCACGGAAGGUAACACUUCCGACAGAACUCGGCUUACCGUCUGCUCCGUCUA